This 497-nucleotide ribosomal RNA is filed under the name uncultured bacterium. RNAcentral's name for it is "partial 16S ribosomal RNA". It matches the Rfam family "Bacterial small subunit ribosomal RNA", at positions 28 to 507 of the family's 1533-position model. The record is from RNAcentral.
GAUGAACGCUGGCGGCGUGCCUAAUACAUGCAAGUCGAGCGAACAGACGAGGAGCUUGCUCCUCUGACGUUGGCGGCGGACGGGUGAGUAACACGUGGAUAACCUACCUAUAAGACUGGGAUAACUUCGGGAAACCGGAGCUAAUACCGGAUAAUAUAUUGAACCGCAUGGUUCAAUAGUGAAAGACGGUUUUGCUGUCACUUAUAGAUGGAUCCGCGCCGCAUUAGCUAGUUGGUAAGGUAACGGCUUACCAAGGCAACGAUGCGUAGCCGACCCGAGAGGGUGAUCGGCCACACUGGAACUGAGACACGGUCCAGACUCCUACGGGAGGCAGCAGUAGGGAAUCUUCCGCAAUGGGCGAAAGCCUGACGGAGCAACGCCGCGUGAGUGAUGAAGGUCUUCGGAUCGUAAAACUCUGUUAUUAGGGAAGAACAAAUGUGUAAGUAACUAUGCACGUCUUGACGGUACCUAAUCAGAAAGCCACGGCUAACUACGUG